Cyprinus carpio carpio is the source of this 1985-nucleotide long non-coding RNA. Lineage: Eukaryota; Metazoa; Chordata; Actinopteri; Cypriniformes; Cyprinidae. The record is from Ensembl.
CCCGCCAUAUUCUGAAGUUGAACUCGAACAAAAUGAAGUGAACCCCUGGCCAUAUUUAUGCUUUAUUAUGCAGUGUAAGCUGUGCUUAGCUAGGGAGACCAAACUAGGAGCUUAUAAAAUCUCGACAAGACCUCAACCCUUCACAAGCAUGUAGAGAGGUUCUUAGGAUUUGCUAACUUCUAUCGACGCUUUAUCCAAGAUUUCAGUCUGCAUACUGCACCAUUAACCUCUCUCUUAGAGGGAAGCCCAAAUCCCUGUCCUGGACUUCCACGCCCCAAGAAGCAUUCGAAGAUCUGAAGAACGCCUUUUAGCACGGCUCCCAUCCUUCGUCACCUGGAUCCUGAGUCACCGUUUAUGGUAGAAGUGGAUGCCUCCACCACCGGAGUCGGAGCCAUGCUAUCCCAGCAGUUCGGUAAGCCCCCACGCCUCCAGCCUUGUGCUUUCUAUUCCAGGAAACUGAACCCAGUGGAGCAGAAUUAUGACAUUGGGAACAGGAAGCUGUUAGCAAUCAAGCUCGCUCUAGAAGAAUGGAGACAUUGGCUGGAGGGAUCUAACCACCACUUUACGGUAAUCACUGAUCAUAAAAAUCUACAAUAUCUCCAUGAAGCCCAUAGCUGAAGCCCCGGCAAGCUCGUUGGGCCCUGUUCUUCACCAGAUUUAAUUUCACCAUCACUUACCUCUCUGAAAGCCACAACUGCAAGGCUGAUGCUCUUUCCCAUCUGCAUUCCUUGGACACUCCUUCGGACCCCGAACCUAUACUCCAUCCAGCCAUGAUUGUCAGCCCCAUCAUGUGGAGCACGGACGAGGACAUCAGAGCUGCUACCCAGCAUGAACCUGCUCCGCUGGGAGGCCCAGAAGGGAGGAUUUAGGUUCCCCGGUCCCAGCGGCAAUGUCUUCCACUCCACGUCCGCUCCCGGCAGGCAAAUUGGUACCCCUACCUGUUCCUCGAAGGUCCUGGUCCCAUCUGGGAAUUGACUUUGUCACUGACCUGCCCAACUCUGAAGGUAACACAUGCAUCUUGGUUGUUGUGGAUAGAUUCUCAAAAGCUUGCAAAUUAUUUCCCCUACCAGGUUUACCAACUGCCCUAGAAACUGCCGAACAUCUCUUAAAUCAUGUCUUGCCCAACUUUGGUCUACCAGAGGAUAUCAUGUCCGAUUGGGGUCCACAAUUCAAAUCCAGGGUAUGGAAAGCCUUCUUCCAUCUCCUAGGAGUGACAGUCAACUUAUCUUCUGGGUACCAUCCGCAGACUAACUGCCAGACUGAGCGGAAGAUCCAAGAACUCGGACAGUACCUCCGGGCAUACUGCCAAGAUGAUCAGCACAGCUGGAACCAUUUUCUUCCCUGGGCCGAGUUAACCGUCCCCACUAAAUUGGUCCAUUUACGGUCAAGAGGCAGAUCAAUGAGAUGCCCCGGAACCUCAAGAACCCCCCUCCUCUGGAGGUCCUAGAACAACCAUCCAUCUAUCAGGUGAAGUAGAUCCUUAACUCGCGGCGACGGGGUGCCCAGCUGGAAUACCUGGUGGACUGGGAGGGGUACGGACCAGAGGAACUUUCCUGGGUGGCCAGGGACGACAUUCUAGACCCCAUGCUACUUGAAGAGUUCUAUCGACAACAUCCUGAUCGUCCCGCAGCCAGAGGUCGUGGUUGCCCUCGUCGUCGCGUUAGGGUGUCAGGAGCCGCCUCUGGAGGAGGGGGUAAUGUCAGGCAAUCAUCAUCUGCACCUGACUCUCAAGCACGAUCCCAAUCACCGGAGUACUGAUCACCUGCACCUGCACCCAGUAAUCACUCACCAGAAUAAAGACACCUCAAACUCAGUACUCCGGUCUACUGUUCACUACCCAUUGAACUGGUGCCUGACCUCUUUCUACUAUCCUGUCUUUGCCAUAUCCUCUGAUAUCCUCAUGGCGAUCUCCUGUGAACUACAUAAGCUGACUCUCCAUCUGAUUAUCUCCAGAGCUCUGGAAGUUAACCUCCUUACAACCCAAC